AUGGCGGAGAUUGUGAUUCUUCUAGCCAUUAAAAAGAUUGGAAUUGCCUUGGCAAAAGGAGCGGCAGACCAAGCCAGUGUGCAGUUUGCGAAGUACGGGGCACAACUAGUAGAGCUUAAGGGCAGCAUGCGUUGUGUUGCAAGGGAGCUUCGCGUAAUGCAUGAUGUUCUAUGUGAAAUGGAUAUUCGAAGCCGCAACAAUCAAGUAUACGAGGGCUGGAUGGAGGAGGUACGGAAAGUAGCACAUGUGAUGGAGGACACGGUGGAUGAGUACUUGUAUCUAGUUGGUGAGGAACGUGAUAUUGAUUGUUGUUUUUUCCUGAAGAAAGGAUUCAAAAAGCCAAGAUCUCUGCUUUCUUUGAACCAGAUAGCUGUCAAGGUGAAGGAAGUAGAGAAAGAACUUUCACACUUGUCAGAGACAAAAAACCGCUGGGUUCCCAUGACAGACAACAGGGAUAUUGGCAACUCAAAUUACAUUGUCAAGAGAUCCCAAGAUCUAGCAAACAUUUCACGCUCCCUUGACGAAGAAGAUCUAGUGGGGGUGGAUAAAAACAGACAAAAACUGGAGCAAUGGUUGGCAGGUGAUGAUCUGGACUGCUCUGUGAUAGCUCUGCUCGGAAUGGGAGGUCUUGGUAAAACUGCUUUAGCUGCAAAUGUGUACAAGAAGGAGAGGGAGAAAUUCCAGUGCCACGCCUGGGUCUCCGUCUCUCAAACUUAUUCUAGAGAAGAUGUCUUGAGGAAUGUAAGCAAGGAACUUUUUAAAGAUAAUGUCAGUGUUCUAUCUAAAACUGCAACUAUGGACAUCACAUGCCUUGAAGAGACGGUGAAGAGUUUUCUUGAGCAACACAAGUAUUUGAUUAUAUUGGAUGAUGUUUGGACUCCAGAAACAUUUGAUGAUUUGUCUAGGACGCUUAUCAAUAAUGAUAAGGGCAGUAGACUGAUAAUCACAACAAGGGAAGGUGAUGUUGCCGCACUUGCCUCUCAAGGACAUAUCUUAAGACUGGAAGCUUUACCAGAAGACAAGGCAUGGGAUCUUUUUUGUAAGAAAGCCUUUCCCAGAGAUGCAAAUCAUGAAUGUCCUACAGAAUUGAAGCCAUUGUCCGAGGAAAUAGCUAGCAAGUGCAAAGGCUUGCCUCUUGCUAUAGUGUCAGUUGGCAGCCUCUUGCGUGUGCGUGAGAAAACUGUGGAAGAAUGGAGAAGAAUAAAUGACCAAUUGAGCUGGGAGAUAAUUAAUAAUUCGAGGUUCGACCACAUAAGGAAUGUUUUGUAUUUGAGCUUCAUAUACCUUCCAACACACUUGAAAAGUUGUUUCUUGUACUGCAGUCUAUUUCCAGAAGACUAUCUUUUACAUAGGAAACAACUUGUACGGUUAUGGACAGCAGAGGGGUUCAUCGAGGAGAGGGGUGAAAGCACAUUGGAAGAAGUGGCAGAAGGCUAUCUAAAGGAAUUGAUUGACAGAAACAUGCUACAACUUAUUGUGAGGAACCACUUUGGUAGGAUGAAGAAAUUCAGAAUGCACGAUCUCUUACGUGAACUGGCAGUUGAUUUGUGCAAGAAGAACUGUUUUGGUGUUACAUAUGACGAUAAAUGUGGGGGGUCUCUUGUGAUGGAUGGACGACGAUUGGUACUCCACAAACAUCAGCAAAUUUCUGGUAUACACCAACUUCGUACAGUCAUUACACUGGGCAAUAGCAUUCCAUCAACCACUUUACCUUUGCUAUGUAAGGAGUCAAAAUAUUUGACAGUGCUAGAAAUAAGUGGUCUACCUAUCGAGGAGAUUCCAGAAGCUAUUGGCGAUCUUUUUAAUCUCCGCCAUUUGGGUUUGCGUGUUCAAAGGUGA
Molecule: ribosomal RNA, 1839 nt
Filed under: Triticum aestivum (bread wheat)
Lineage: Eukaryota; Viridiplantae; Streptophyta; Magnoliopsida; Poales; Poaceae
Description: partial small subunit ribosomal RNA
Source: RNAcentral